UGUGGAUACGGAUUGAGGAUUUUAUCCAGUUUCUCUGUCUAUAAACAAGAGAUUUUUUUCCAGCCUAAUCUGAGGUCAAGAGAAGAGGUGGUUGCCCCUGCCUUGCAAGCACGGGGCUUCGCUUCAGCAUCUCAGCACGUUUGAUUGAUGGUCACCAGAUGCUCUGAACUUGUCCUGGUUGCUCUGACCUGUCCUUGCCCUCCACAGUGCAGCUUCUUUUGACGUCUUCAGAUUCAGAGCCAUUUCCUCUGU
This is a long non-coding RNA of Nothoprocta perdicaria, 252 nucleotides long. RefSeq lists it as uncharacterized. The record is from RefSeq and is a predicted model, not a curated record. Lineage: Eukaryota; Metazoa; Chordata; Aves; Tinamiformes; Tinamidae. The transcript is spliced from 3 exons.